GACGAACGCUGGCGGCGCGCCUAACACAUGCAAGUCGAACGAAGAAAGUGAUAGUUUACUAGAGCUUUCUUAGUGGCGGACGGGUGAGUAACACGUGAAGAACCUGCCUUACAGAGGGGGACAACAGUUGGAAACGACUGCUAAUACCGCAUAACGCUUUUGAGAGGCAUCUCUUGAAAGCCAAAGGAGCAAUCCGCUGUAAGAUGGCUUCGCGUCCGAUUAGACAGUUGGCGGGGUAACGGCCCACCAAAUCUACGAUCGGUAGCCGGACUGAGAGGUUGAUCGGCCACAUUGGGACUGAGACACGGCCCAGACUCCUACGGGAGGCAGCAGUGGGGAAUAUUGCACAAUGGAGGAAACUCUGAUGCAGCGACGCCGCGUGAGGGAAGAAGGUCUUCGGAUUGUAAACCUCUGUCUUCGGUGACGAAAAUGACGGUAGCCGAGGAGGAAGCCACGGCUAACUACGUGCCAGCAGCCGCGGUAAUACGUAGGUGGCAAGCGUUGUCCGGAAUUACUGGGUGUAAAGGGAGCGUAGGCGGGAAGGCAAGUCGAUUGUCUAAACUAUGGGCUCAACCCAUAGUCGCGAUCGAAACUGUCUUUCUUGAGUGAAGUAGAGGUAAGCGGAAUUCCUAGUGUAGCGGUGAAAUGCGUAAAUAUUAGGAGGAACACCAGUGGCGAAGGCGGCUUACUGGGCUUUAACUGACGCUGAGGCUCGAAAGCGUGGGUAGCAAACAAGAUUCCAUACCCUGGUAGUCCACGCCGUAAACGAC
RNAcentral lists this ribosomal RNA (770 nucleotides) under uncultured bacterium. Its description in RNAcentral is "bacterial SSU rRNA". It matches the Rfam family "Bacterial small subunit ribosomal RNA", at positions 28 to 810 of the family's 1533-position model. The record is from RNAcentral.